Molecule: non-coding RNA, 30 nt
Filed under: Mus musculus (house mouse)
Lineage: Eukaryota; Metazoa; Chordata; Mammalia; Rodentia; Muridae
Source: RNAcentral
UUGGAAGUCGUGAGUUUGGAUGUGGGGAUA